CAGGAUUAGAAAAUUUCACUCUGAAAAUUUUAAAUAUGUCACAGGACCUUAUGGAUUUUCUGAACCCAAACGGUAGUGACUGUACUCUAGUCCUGUUUUACACCCCGUGGUGCCGCUUUUCUGCCAGUUUGGCCCCUCACUUUAACUCUCUGCCCCGGGCAUUUCCAGCUCUUCACUUUUUGGCACUGGAUGCAUCUCAGCACAGCAGCCUUUCUACCAGGUUUGGCACCGUAGCUGUUCCUAAUAUUUUAUUAUUUCAAGGAGCUAAACCAAUGGCCAGAUUUAAUCAUACAGAUCGAACACUGGAAACACUGAAAAUCUUCAUUUUUAAUCAGACAGGUAUAGAAGCCAAGAAGAAUGUGGUGGUAACUCAAGCCGACCAAAUAGGCCCUCUUCCCAGCACUUUGAUAAAAAGUGUGGACUGGUUGCUUGUAUUUUCCUUAUUCUUUUUAAUUAGUUUUAUUAUGUAUGCUACCAUUCGAACUGAGAGUAUUCGGUGGCUAAUUCCAGGACAAGAGCAGGAACAUGUGGAGUAGUGAUGGUCUGAAAGAAGUUGGAAAGAGGAACUUCAAUCCUUCGUUUCAGAAAUUAGUGCUACAGUUUCAUACAUUUUCUCCAGUGACGUGUUGACUUGAAACUUCAGGCUGGUCUCAAACUGCUGACUUCAGGUGAUCCACCCGCCUCAGCCUCCCAAAGUGUUGGGAUUACAGGUGUGAGCCACUGCGCCUGGCCUAAACAAACUUUUUGAAAAGCUGUUUCUAAAAGAUUCCUUAAAUUCAGAUAUGACAGCUAAUUACCUCAUCAUAAAUUACUUUUAUACUAAUUGUUUCCAGGGUUUUAGAGUAGUUGAAUGUUUAUUUCACAAGGCACCCUAAAUUCUAUAGAAAUAAAACCUCAG
This 898-nucleotide long non-coding RNA is filed under the name Homo sapiens (human). RNAcentral describes it as "long non-coding RNA NONHSAT203241.1". Lineage: Eukaryota; Metazoa; Chordata; Mammalia; Primates; Hominidae. The record is from RNAcentral.